Molecule: long non-coding RNA, 250 nt
Organism: Scomber japonicus (chub mackerel)
Lineage: Eukaryota; Metazoa; Chordata; Actinopteri; Scombriformes; Scombridae
Exons: 4
Source: RefSeq, a predicted model, not a curated record
AGAAAACUGGAGAUGGAAAACUACCACAGUAUAAAGGAGCGAGCUCUCUUCAAACCAUUAAUGAACUCUGCAGUCAUCAACCAAUCACAGAUGAGAGAACAGAAAUACAGCAGAAAGAGAUGACCAUUAAGACAAAACCCACAAGGCAGAAAUGGACCACCAGGCUGAAUGUAGAGCUGGCAGUGAGCAGCAGUCAGUGAUUCAGGAGACGCAGAAGAAGAAGAUGGACGAUGUAAAUGCUGCUGUCAAC